UCUCCCGAGGCGGCCGCGCGGGUGAUGUCAGCUCUCGACGAAAAUAGAGAGGGAUCGCCUGCAAAUCCCCAGCUGCGGCGGGGCUAAACCUCGCAAUCCCUCCCCGGCGGCGGCGAGCCAGGGCGCAGCGGCCGCCACCGCCUCCCCCGGCGCGCACACACCCGCACACGCGCGCACGCACGCACACACUUCCCCUGCACACCCGCGGCACACCCCCUCCCGGGCCUCCCCCGCCGCCCGCCCCGAGCCCCGCAGCGCACGCAGGUGGCGGCCGCUGCCCGGCGGCCCGGGGGCGGCGCUGGCUCGGGGAAGCCACCCCCAGCCCCCCGAGCGCCCCGCCGAGCGCCGGCGAGGCGGGACGCGCGCGGAGGAGAGCCCAGCCGGGGCUUAGCGCCCGCCGGAGCCUCCCGCGCGGGCUGAGGCGCUAAAGGGCUUACCCGGGAGGGGGGUGGGAGGCGGGGAGAGGCUCCCCCUUAAAUAGCGCGCUCCGCCACUCUCCGGCGCUCACGCCGCGCCCGCCGCCGCCGCCGGACCGUGCCGAAGAGGAGGGGGCGUUCCCCGGACCAUGGCAUCCACCGAAGGUGCCAACAACAUGCCCAAGCAGGUCGAAGUACGGAUGCACGACAGCCAUCUCAGCUCGGAGGAGCCGAAGCACCGGCCUCUGGGCCUGCGCCUGUGUGACAAGCUGGGGAAGAAUCUCCUGCUCACACUGACCGUGUUUGGUGUCAUCCUGGGGGCAGUAUGUGGAGGGCUUCUCCGCUUGGCAUCUCCUCUCCACCCUGACGUGGUUAUGUUAAUAGCCUUCCCAGGGGAUAUACUCAUGAGGAUGCUAAAAAUGCUUAUUCUGCCUCUCAUCAUCUCCAGCUUAAUCACAGGUUUGUCGGGCCUGGAUGCUAAAGCCAGUGGACGCUUGGGCACGAGAGCCAUGGUGUAUUACAUGUCCACAACCGUCAUUGCUGCAGUGCUGGGGGUCAUCUUGGUCUUGGCCAUCCACCCAGGGAACCCCAAACUCAAGAAGCAGCUGGGACCCGGGAAGAAAAAUGAUGAAGUGUCCAGCCUGGAUGCCUUCCUGGACCUCAUCCGAAAUCUCUUCCCUGAAAACCUUGUCCAAGCCUGUUUUCAGCAGAUUCAAACGGUGACCAAGAAAGUCCUGGUGGCACCUCCAUCAGAUGAGGAAGGCAAUGCCACCAACGCUGUCAUCUCAUUAUUGAACGAGACUGUGACAGAGGCACCUGAGGAAGCGAAGGUGGUUAUCAAGAAGGGCCUGGAGUUCAAGGAUGGCAUGAAUGUCUUAGGUCUGAUCGGGUUUUUCAUUGCUUUUGGCAUCGCCAUGGGGAAGAUGGGAGAGCAGGCCAAGCUGAUGGUGGAAUUCUUCAACAUUUUGAAUGAGAUUGUAAUGAAGUUAGUGAUCAUGAUCAUGUGGUACUCUCCCCUGGGUAUCGCCUGCCUCAUUUGUGGAAAGAUCAUUGCAAUCAAGGACUUAGAAGUGGUUGCUAGGCAACUGGGGAUGUACAUGGUCACGGUGAUAGUGGGCCUCAUCAUCCAUGGGGGCAUCUUUCUCCCCUUGAUUUACUUUCUAGUCACCAGGAAAAACCCUUUCUCCUUUUUUGCUGGCAUUUUCCAAGCCUGGAUCACUGCCCUGGGUACCGCCUCCAGUGCGGGAACUUUGCCUGUUACCUUCCGUUGCUUGGAAGAAAACCUGGGGAUUGAUAAGCGUGUAACCAGAUUUGUCCUCCCAGUUGGAGCAACCAUCAACAUGGACGGUACAGCCCUUUAUGAAGCAGUGGCCGCCAUCUUUAUUGCCCAAAUGAAUGGUGUUAUCUUGGAUGGAGGCCAGAUUGUGACUGUGAGCCUCACGGCCACGCUGGCGAGCGUCGGUGCGGCCAGUAUCCCCAGCGCGGGCCUCGUCACCAUGCUUCUCAUCCUGACGGCUGUGGGCCUGCCAACGGAGGACAUCAGCCUGCUGGUGGCUGUGGACUGGUUGCUGGACAGGAUGAGGACUUCAGUCAAUGUUGUGGGUGACUCCUUUGGGGCUGGGAUUGUCUAUCACCUCUCCAAGUCUGAGCUGGAUACUAUUGACUCCCAGCAUCGAGUGCAUGAAGAUAUUGAAAUGACCAAGACUCAGUCCAUUUAUGAUGACAUGAAGAACCAUAGGGAAAGCAACUCUAAUCAAUGUGUCUAUGCUGCACACAACUCUGUCAUAGUAGAUGAGUGCAAGGUACCUUUCCCGUUCAUGGAUAUUGAGACCUGUAUAUAAUAGUGCAUGCUCAGUUUCCUAAGACAAGCACCAAAAGUCCUGCAUGUAUUAUUGUCACAUUUAUUUUUCUGAAGAAUCAUGUAACCCACGCUUCUAUGAGUCCCAGAUCAUCUAACUCUGUGUCUAACGUGGCAGAUCUAACAAAGAGCCAAUCGGUUGCUUGUUUCGUCCAUGUGAUGUAAAACAAUCAUUUUGACCACCCCCCCCCUUUCCACCCACUCCACAAAUUUGAUUGGUUUUCUUGAACAUUUUGCCGAAGAAUUUGUGGUUCUUAAGGCUUUGUUGGAUUUCAAAUAUUCUAUUUCUUGAAUGAAACACUAAGAGAAAUACCCAGAAUCACUCAAUAUAUGUAGCACAAGUAUUCCUACUUGCUGUAUAUUACAUGCUGGUCAAAAAUGUGCCCACACGACUUUGCGCAACUAUUUUUCUCUUAAUUAUUUUUGUGGGAAGGUGAGUUUUGACCUUGCAGUCACUGUGCUCCAAGAAUGGGGAAGCUGUUUCAAGUAAAGGAUAUCUCUCCCUCAGGACAAUCAUCCCAUAGCCACUACAUUUCACACAGUGGUGGCACCAUCUUUCUUGAAGCAUGGAUGUUCUGGACUCUUUUCCAAGCUGCUGGGUACUAAGUCUUCAAGCUUGAUGGGCUCCGUCUAGCCUUCAUUGUAACUAACUUGACAUUGUCAAAGACAGAGUGUCAUGACCAGAGUGAAGCAAACUUGGAGAAACCCUGGCAGGUGAGCAGAGUCAACUCUGGGAGUUGGGUUGCCCAAAUGGUUCCAAGUAGCAUCUGAAGGCAAUCGGCACCCAGUACAGGUUUCUGAUAUUCUUUUGAUUCCUGCUGACAGGAUCUUAUUUAAUAGUUCAUUUCUCCCUGGGUUACUUCUGGGUCAUUCCAAACAUACACAUGGCCUCUGCCAGGCAAAUAAGGGUGACACAGAAGUGAUUCUCUUUACUGGAUUGUAACAUAGGUCCAGAAGUCUAAUGGGCCAGCAGUAGUCUUUUGCUCAUCCCCUCUCUACCGGGUACACGUGUGGGUGAACCAAGGCUCUGGUACAAAUUAAGGAAGGACUUAGCCAUCAAGAGCAACUGCAAAAACUAAUUGACUCAGUGAAAAUGAUUCAAAUUAUUCGAAAUUCAGAUGUAUCCAAAGCGCAUAUUCCAUUCUCCUAGGAAGUUAGCUCUUCCCACGUCUAGAUGAAUGUGCUGGAUUAUUCCCCGUCAAAAUUUAGGUCAACAAGGGUCCACAUUCUCAUGAAAUGGCUCUGUGCUCUAUUUAACAAGUAUUUAUUGUGUGCCUUGUGGGGUUUAGUUAAGCAUCUCAUUCCUGUGACCUCCUAUAUUUUGAUCAUUCAUCAGAUAUUUAUUGAGUGCCCGUUACCUGCAAAGCCCUGAAAUAGGCAAUGGGAGGACAGAAAAGCGAAUGUACAAUUUUGUAGGAAAGAGAAGGGUUGAUUCCAAGUUACUGCCAUACAAGGAAAAAGAAUAGCAUGAAAUAAAAUGAAAUCACCAUAUAUUUUUACAUUUUGCAGUUAUUUGUAAGAAGAAUCGUAGUGACUAACUGCCUGUGGUGUGGCUCUUUUGGAGCUUCUCAAGAGGCUUCCUAAUAGUGUUAGAAGGACAUGUUUUGAAAAAGAUGGUAUAUAGAUAUGGAGAUACAUUUAGAUUUCAGACUUCCUGGGUUCUUUUUCUUAAAGGACAUUAGGAGAAGUUUGCUAUGUUCUUAGAGCAAGAACAACUCAAGCCCCCUAAAGGAAGAGAUUUGUGAACUGUCCCUAUCACUAGGAAGCAAGCCCAUGAGGAGAGACCCUGUUUCCGCAUUUAUCACUGCUGUCUCCCAGCACCUAAAGCAGUACCUGGCAUGCAGUAGGCGCUCUAUAAAUAUUUGUUGUAUGUAUCCUUUUAGCAUCUUGACCCUGUGCUUUGUUUCAGACAACCUUGUUGCUGACCAGUUCUGUAGAGAUACUGGCUUAGUCCGUUUCUAUAACUGACUGCCUACCCAACCACCUGCAAACUUGGUGAAUUAGCAUUUACAUGGUCGAAAGGACACCGAGCAGGUCAGGGACAUGCCGAAUGGCCAUGUUGAUUUAAUAACUAUCUGGCCAUUUGGAUUUUUUAGUGAAGUCAUUGGGUUCGGCUCACCGAAGGUUAGUUGGCCUCAGCCUUUGCGAGGUGAGGCGAACACCUCUUCCCACCUAGACCAACGAAACUGAGUUGCCACUGAUGCACGAGAGGAGGCAGCCAGAGCCAUCAUGAUGAAUUUGCACACUUUCCCGGAAUAUCUGAGUCACAUUUAUUCCUGCCUUUGAACUUCCUUCUGGUCCAUUCUCCGUCUCACUGUUUUAAAAACCAAGAUGGGAGACGUCAAUGCUUCCUGUCAGCCCCCUCUCCUUCCUGCUUUUCUAUUACCCAGGUGGUUGGAGCAGAGCAGGGUGGGAUGGACCGGGGAGUUAGAGUCCUGGCUUCCUUGAACCGGCUCAGAAAAAGAAAUGCCAAAAAAGGGGCUGUCCCGGCCACUUUCGAGACACAGGCCCCAGUAUUCAACAACAGUGACGGCCACAGCAGGGCACACCCCCCAGUGCGGCCUGGUGUUCCAAAGGCCGCACAGCAUGAUUUAUACUUUUGUACAGCUAUUGAUCUGGUUCAUCACAGAAAGCCAAAUAGGCACAUUCAAGGUCAGAGCGAACAGGCAGCUUUCUCCAGGCAGACAGUUUGUUCCUGGCAGUCUUUCCUGAGAGUUCACUGAAGGGGAAACAAAUUUGCUGCAGCUCUGGUCAAAAUGUUAACCACUUCGAGCGUUGCUACGUCAUGUUGGUGUCUGCUGUUUUCAAACUCUUGCCUUGUCCUUGUAGUUGGAAUUUACGUGAGAGCUUUUUAAUUGUCAUCAGAAUAACUGCAUGUGGGGUGGUCAUGGCUUGUUGCAUGGUCUUUCUAGAAAACUAUGGGCGCCCACUGGGGGGUGGAGAAACGAAUGGCUUCUGUUUUCAUUCGCUCGGUUUGUGAAGGGCACUUGUGUUCUGUUCCUAGCAUGGUAGUGUGUGUUCCUAACGCAUGCGUUUCGCUGCCUCUCGGGUUAAGAAGAUCCGAUUUCUUUCAAACAUUGCUGCGUUUGUCAUGUCUCCAUAUCCUAAUGCUUCCAUAAAUCCAGUCUCUCCAUUAUGUGGAAUAUCAGUCGUGGGUUUAAGUUUGCACAUGACGUUGAGGACAGACAGAUGGAAGGUAACUCUGGCAGCCAACGGAAAGUCAGCCGACGGCGGUGUUGAGGAAGAACCUUGGAAGCGUGAAAAAUAAGGAUAUGACUCUCAGCAAAUUCUUGAAUAAACUCCCCAGCUUAUCUUAUGGUAAAAGAGAGUUCAAAACAAGCUUUCUUUAAAAAGAAAAAAAGAUGCAUUUAUUUCUGUGUUUACUUAAUCCGUUAGCCGAGGCUUCGAGGAUCUGUUGUGAGUCAGUGAUAGGCACGGUGCUGUGUGUUUGCCAAGUCAUGCUUCGUAACCGUCUCGUUUUCUCACCCGUGUUAUUGUUUGGAUGGAUGCUGCUGGAGGAACCAGUUGGAACUGAACGCGCAUUCUUGCCGGCUUCCCUUUUCUCUCUAAAUGCAGAGCCGUGGGCGCUCUUUUCCCCGGGGGAUACGACUAAAGCAAUGUGGUACACUCCGGGGAUUUGGGAUGACAAGCAGACACUCAGCGUGUGAUCCCGUCAAGUGUUUUUCAUGCUUCCGCUUCAUUCCGCGCAAGAGAUUCUGUUAGAAGCCUCUAGAAGUUAAUUCUCUCGAAAUGUAGAGUUUGCCCAUGUGUUGAUUAAAAGCGAAUACCUGCCUUAGGGAACUCUGAUGAUCUAGCUUAUAUAUAUAUAUAUAUAUAUAUAUAUAUACAUACAUAUAUAUAUAUAUAUAUAUAUAUAUACACACACACUCUUGAAACGAAGUAUUUCAUAGAAAAUUCUAGUGGGCACUGUGCUCCUCGCGACAAUUGAUCACGGAACCCGCUGAGUUUCUGCUCCACCCUUACCUAGUCUGUGGCAAUAGUUAUUGACAUUUCAAAGUAUGUUUCAUAAUUUGCUCCAAACUUGAUAAUGGAUUAGGAUGUAAUUUGCACAUAGCCGCUGUAUAUAUUGACAAAAGUAAGAGAGCACAGCCAACACAGACUUGAACCAGAUUCAAAUGAUCCAAUUUGUUUGGGUUUGGUUUGCAUUCACCUGACAUAGUGAAAUCAAGUGAGAUUAUUUGGUUUAUGCUUUCCUUUCUUUGCUUCAGCCCUCAAAUACUUUGUUUGGGUUUCUAACCAAAAAAAAAAAAAAAAAAAAAAAAAAAAGGCAUUUUUAAUCCCCAAAUUAUUUCAGUUAUAGCCUCAUUAACCUGGAAGACCUAAUCAUUUUACUCUCCUCACACAUGGAGGACAGUUAUGUUGGCUAUGCCUCUUUUAACACCACCUCUUGAUGAAAGCAAAACACUGUCAUUGAUCGAAUGUGUAGAAAGCUUUUGGUACUAUUCUCUCAACGCACAUAAAACCAGGUAUAGGGCACAGUUGAAAGCAGGGUCCGUCUUCUUCCCUAGUCUUCUCUGUAGCAAGGAACAGAAAACAAGCAUGGGCAAAUCCCUAUAAAGGUGACACUCCUGUGGCAAAGUCAAGGCAGCCUUGAGCCCUGAAAUGGGAGCAAAUGAUGACUCCUUCCAGCUUCACAGACGGAAUCUUUUCAAGGCUGUCACAGUUUGAGGGAGUCAGUAAUACAAGUGGAUUAGCACAGUGCCUUGUAUGCCACAGGCACCCAAUGACUCCGGAUGAGAGAUCGUGCAAGCUAAAUCUGUUGAUGUCGCUACUGUCAUUUUCCCGUUGAAUAACUCACAGUAUUUUCCUAAGGUUGCUGGCUUUGGGAGUUUGCUGGGAACUUGAACAUGAAUCACUGAGAAAUAAAGUACACUUGACUAACUCUGAAGAGUGUGUAGAAGCUGGGUCCACACGUAGGAAUCGGGUGGUCAUCAGAGGCCAGCAGAUGGGUGCUGGGGUAUACGUGAGUAGUCGUAGAGUUCAAAUUCUUUGGGGAGAAGGGGUGUAUAGAAUCCCAUAUGCUUUAUUACCUAUUCCUGAUGACUUUUCUUUUCCAAACCAGACACCUUUGGGACAUACAAGAGACGUGAGCUUCCCAUUGCUUUUGUCUCUGAAACCCUUGUUAUUUUUGGAUAAGGAUCACUAUUGAGCAGUAUUAAGCAGCUUUUUGCCUUUAAAAAAAAAUUGCCAUUGGUUCUUCAUUUUCAUUAGAUGGACAGUUGACUGGGUGGCCAAGGACGUGCUGAAAUGUAGUAGUGGAAAAUGCAUCCUUUAGAGCAGAUAUUGUGGGUCAAGGGGACAGUUCCUGGAUUUAGCUAUGAAACUGUUAUGGAUUGUCUUUAAGUGGUGCUCCCGAGAGCUUUUUUAUGGCGAAGAGAAGGAUCUAGGCAAGGCAGCGAGGAGUUUGUGGGUUUUGCUGUUUAAGGCCAGGUUAGCACUCGUACACGCUGACAUGUUUCCCGAAAGAGUGGUCUCAGGAUUGUCUUCCCAAGACUCUGCCUAAAUGUCUUCCUGCCUUGCUUUGUCGUCAGCAUUUUCCUACUUAUCCUAUGAAUACAUAAGGGGACAAUGAUUCAGAAGAAACAAGGUGUAUGCUUAACAAAGCAGGUUUUUCUGGUUUUAGACUACAUGUAAUAAAUUUCAUGAGAAUAUGCUUAGGAAAUCACAUUCAUCUGGAAAUUCGACACAGCACAUUAAAAAUGAAUAAUCUGUCAAGUUCAGGACUAACCUGAACAUCCAGGAUGUAGGUAGAGCUGACGUAUGACUGUGUUCUCUAUUUGUUUAGGUCUCAUUCAUUCUUCUUAUGCCAUGCCCAUUUGGCCUUUCCUUGCCCAUCAUGUGUGCCAUCAACAGAACAAACAGAUCCAGAGUAUACCUCCAAGACACUUUUUCUAAAUCAGAUCUGUAUAAUCUGUCAGUUAUAUGCAUAGAUUUAUAUUAAUAGGUUCAACACAGAUAUAAAUGCUUAUAACAGUCCAUUAAUAUUUGAUGAUGCAUAAAAGUUAUAUGCAGACACAGCAGGCCAGAACCAUACGCUCAUCCCAUGAGGUCAGUAAGUCAGGGCUUCGGCAACGCCAUUUUGUUACAGACCCAUUCAUUCUUCUUAGGAAUCCGCGUCAUUUUGAGAGCAAACCAACUAACCAGACUUUUAUCUUCCCCUUUACGAUUUUUGCCCACUGGGAAACCCAAGUAGAAUCAUCAUGUACUUACUAACUACAAUGCAAAGAGCCAAAUCCAGUCAGCAAGAAGAAUGGCUUAUCUCUCAAGGUGGGAUCUUUGAGGAUGUGCCUCCCAUAUAGAGUAUCAAAGAAUCAAGGCAAUCGUGUAGAUUAUGUAGAUCUUCAAUAUGGACUUCAAGUAAUAAGAUCUGAACCAAGUAGAUGUCAGAUUCAGUUAUUCACUUCCUGUUGUGUGUGGAAACACAGUCUAGGGUCUCAUUGCCUGCAGAAGUUACCUUGUCCGUAAAAGACAAGUGUGUGCUUCUCCCCUGCAACUACUCGUCAGCAGAAAGAAAGGGUACCCCAAUGCCUAGCUCCUGGAUUUAGACUGGUGGAAACUGACAAAGUCUUCAAGGAAAUUCAAUUUGUGGGGAGAUGUAUUCCUGGUAGGAGAUGUCAGGAAUCCCAAUGACUGGUUGAUUAGAGGGCCUCGGGUUAUUUCCAACCUUGCAUGGGGAAGUGGGUCAUUUGGCAGUGGGUCUCAUCAAGAAACCCUUUUGGAGUUGGGUAACUCCUCUGCCAGGUUUCUGAAAAGAAACCCAAUCCUGCCAUGUUUUUGCAACUGUCCCGCUUCCUUUAGUUUUUAGUAUAAUAUUUUACUUUUGUCAGGAUUACGGGUUCUGUCUGUGCUGUAUUUCCCCCAGGAAAUACAGCAGCAAGUCCAAACCGGUACGCACAUGCUCAGAGAGAAUUCUUCCAUAGUUCAGACUCUUGAGGAGCAGGUCUUUGUAGCCCUUGCUUGGCUUUAUGGCUAAAAGUGCUCAGCAGUUACACCCAGUGGAUGUGGCUCUUCUGUGCUGCUUUUUAAUUCUUAGGGCCAUAUAGUUGGUUUUACUUUCCUUAUUCUCCAAAUAAACUCAUUCCAAGCCAAGCAAAUGGACCAAUGAUAGAUUUUUUUUCAGUUGUCAUAAUACUUGCUCUUGGAAUAUUUGGGUCACAAGUGUACUCUUAACCCCCAUCACCUGUUUCACACACACCCCAUCUCCCCUCUAGUGACCACAGGUCUGUUCUCUAUAUUCAAAAUUCUGGGUUUUUUGGUGGUUUUUUUUGGUCUGUCUCUCUUUUUCUUCAUUUGUUUCUUAAAUUUGACAUAUGAGUGAAAUCCUAUGGUAUUUGUCUUUCUCUGGCUUAUUUCACUUAGCGUUAUACUCUCUCUGAGAACAUAAAAAGAUUAAGCAAAGAGCCUGAAGAAAUUCUGAAGUGAGAGUUUUGUAAAUCUAGUUGUCAGAGAUCAAUGGUCUCCGUAUCUCUGGUGCCCUCUGGUUAAAACCUAGGAUAAGGGCCGUUGAGCGCCACCCCAGGCAGGUGCCCUAUCGGCAGACUGUUCGCCUUAGGUGGAGCAAGUCCAAAGCUUCUCAUGCAACAGUAGCUUAUGGUUUUCCCAAAAGGAAAACCCAAGGCCCCACCCUUCCUCCUCCUUUCUUAUUCCACCUGCCAUCGUUGCUGCUUAAGAGACAAUUAAGUAGAAGACCACAUGUGUCAAUGCAAGAGUUGGCUUUAGAAAAGAUGGCAAGGCAUCUUAUUUGGACACUAUCCCAUUGCAUAGCAUAACACAACAAAUUCAGGUAAUGACAUAGGGAUGAUGAGAAAUGACCCAAUUGGGUACAGGAAACAUUUGACUUGGAUGGUGCCAGUUUGUAGCUGUAUAACUUACACAAGUCACUUUAUGCCCAAACCUCAUUCCUUCCCAUAUGUAAAGUGAAGGGGUCGGCUUAAGUGAUUAAAACCCUCUUCCAGUCCUGAGAAUCCGUGAUAUUAUGAUCUCUCCUUUAAUUUCUUAUUUUAUUAGAGGCUUACUACCGGAAAAUAUGACUUACGUAUCAUUUAAGUCGGAGUGGCCCACGAUGGCGAAUAAUCACUUUGGAUCUUUUUUCAUCCCCUUGAGGGGAUAUUAAACUCAAGCCUCUCUCUUCAUUUGAUGUUUUACAACAAGCUUGGAAGCUGGCCAUAUUAAUCCACAGUUUGUGUUUUGGGAUGCCAACAGACAUCCUUUUACAAAACUGCCCUUUGCCUAACUCACUGUCUUCGGAGAAGUAGCGAUUGAGCUCAGAGGAAACUGCUGCUUGGCCGAGGGGCAGGGUGCGUCCAUAGCUUCACUCAAGGCCUUAGAUCAUUCCUGCUGUAGCAACAGAGCCCCUUCCAAACACCCCAAACACGCGGUUUUCUCCAAACCGUCCUAAUUGCCAACCCAGUAUGGGAACUGGGGAGGCUUUGGCAAGUAAACUUGAACACUUUUAUGAAAUUUGGUGCAAGAUUUACAGAAUAACAGCAACCAUCUGUCACUAUCUUCCCUCUCUGCCUGUAUGCAGUCACACGCAUCCAAGCACAGGCUGAGCCUGGGCCAAGUCCUUUCUCUGGAGAGAUAAGCAGGGAUAUUUGAAUUCACUUUCAAAUUGUCCCCCUGGUUCGUUUUUAUCGUGGGCACCACAUUGAAGCUCUGUCUCACAAGAGAGGAGCUGGGCUGGUUACCAUUGCCCUCGUCAAUACCUCAGGAAUUUCUAAGGUAGAUAAAAUGCAUGGUCUGUCUGCAAGGUGCGUGCCACCAGCCGUGGCCUUUCAACACCCUCUCGCACUUUCUGGUACUGCUUGCAAUGGGCCGCUGCCUUCAUCCUCGCUCUGUGUCCAGACUUCUGCUAAAUAUGGAGUAGGUUUGGUAUUGAAUGUGCUGUGAGCACCUUUAUUGCCAGAGGAGUCUUCAGCCCUUUAGAUUUGAGGAACCAUGAUGUAAGACCGGGGCUGAAAGGACGGGGUUAAGUUUUCUGUGUUUGUUUGCUUUUUACGUGCAGAAGACCGGAUUGCGAGAGCAGCCAGGAAAAGGCUAUUUCUUAACUGACCCAAAUAAGAACCUAGAAAAGUGAGAGAAGCCCUCACGUUCUUCUUUCAUUCACUCAAAUUAUAUCCUGAAUAAUUACCGAUGAGUUUUUUUUUUUUUUUUUUCCCUGUGUCCAGCCUUGCUUCACCUUCCUACCUCCAAACCAAGUAUCCAUUUUUAUAUUUUUAUUCUUCUGAUUGUUAUACGGGGGCCCUUUUGUGCCGAGACUAAAGCUGAUACCGAAACAGACCCCACUGCUUUGCAGAGUCGACACAUGGCCUGGAGCAUGGGUAACGACAGGUCCCCAGUUUCUCCAGAGACACCCCCAACCCCUGGGUGAGUGUUGGAGCGUACCAGCUGACUGUUACCCUUGUCAUCGUUCCCCAUGGAGACCGGGGAUGACGAAGUCAGAGCCUUGCUCCUUCUGGGGCUCCGUUUCUCCCCAUGGCAACCAUUCAGCCUGCCUAGAAAUGGCUGUUGCCUUUGGUAGGAGAGAAAUGCACACACUAGCCAAGGAAGUUGGUCUAGCACAACUCAGGUUUCUCCUCCAUGGAGCGAAGCCUCUGAGAUGUGUGAUCAGAAAGCUGGCACUCUGGUUGCUUAAUACUCCGGGAGAGCAAUUUUCCUUACUAGGAACUCAACGUUGGGCAUCCAGAUCCUUCCACAAAUCACCUUAACUUCCUCUCUUCUUCCUCCCCUUUGGGAAACCUCAGCAUUGCAUAUUCCCAUGUUGCACAACACAGAUCAGAUUAUCUGGUCGCUAUAGAGAUUUGUAUAUAAAAGACUACUUUUGUGAGGAUUUUUGUAUAUUGUUUUUCUAUUUGUUUUCUACGGCUUAAGGAGAGAGCUGGCAAACUGUGAAUCUAAUUUGAUCUUGCUGCCAGCAGAUAUAUUUUGGCUUCCUGGUAAGAAUCGAUGUUACCAGGGACAAUACACUGCCCCCUGAUCAGUAUUCCACCCCCUACCCCCGCCCACUCACAAAUUCCUCCAGCCCGAUCUCACAUUCUUUUUUAAACAAAUCCCUGGGCUUCUUUGUUAUUAUUUAUAAAGAGCAUGAGCAAAUGUAUUUAUAGACCUGGAUAUUAUAUGUUUACUAUUGAUUUAGCCUUUCAUAAUGUUACAGGUUUGUAUCUACUCUUCAUAAAUCGUAAAGAACUCAGUGUAGACUGAAUUAAUCUAUGUAGUAUCUGUAAUUUUGCAGACAGAUAUUUUCUUAUGGUAUUUUCUAUAUGACCACAUAUGUAGAAUUAUAACUAAUUAGAGCGCAAGAAGUUUCUACAGCAAUUUAGAGCUAUCGCUUGUUUCCUGAGCAUAGAGCCACAUUUGAAAAAUUUAAGAAUCCAAUCCUUUGCGAUGCGAUGAGCAAAAUGACCAUAAAGGACAGGGAAUCACUUAAGUCUGUGAGCUGGUUAAGAUAUGCAUUCACCCAAUUAGUCUUUUUAACUUGAGGAAUGGUGCUAACUCCUUAUUUUUGACACCAGACCUCAUUUUUCCGGCUAAGCGUUCAAAUUUUGCAACAGCAAGAAGAUGAAAAACAAGGUGAUAAUAGUGGGACCAUUUCUAUAUCAGAACCUCCCCUGCCUUCCCAAUUAUUCGUGUGCAUUGGCUUCGGAAACCCUUGAAUAGCAGAGCUUGAGGGCAAGUGCUCGGAAGCAAAUCGAGAGAGAUUUGUUGCAGUUCCUUCUUGCCAAGCAAAUCGGAAGUAAAUGUCACGUGGUUAUGUGAAUUGAGCACAACGCUUUCAGAAAAAAAGUUGUCAGUACCAACUACGAAGCAAUAAUAACUCUUACCGCUGGGGCUGGAGGUGGGGGCUUAGAGUCAUCCUGAAAUUGUUGAGAAGCAGCCCAGGUAGGUUCUGUCCUCAGGUGAAUAUGUAAUUUCCCCAAAGGCAAAUCAGUAGCCACUGCAAAGACAAGGGGGGGGGGGUCUUCCUUCUGCCAAACACACCUUCUGAUACGUGUGUAGGGCUAGUAUUUUUGCCACGUUUAAAAAACAAAAUAGUUACAUAGAACGUGUACUGGUAUGUAUUUAAAACGGUUCCUCAUUAAGCAAACAGAUUAGAUGUGCCCUCAACUGGCAACGAUUGUACCUGUGAUUUUCAAGUACGGAUAGCCGUUCAAAGCAUGAAGUUCUUGUGUGUAUACAGUAACGCUUGGUUCGCGCAUGAAAAUCAGUGCCUAUGCACUUUGUGUAGCUAUAAUGUAGGUCUCCAUGUGUAAUUUCAGUGAAAUGGUGUAUAGACGUAUUUUAAUUUAAUGUAAAUGUUAUUUUUGGCUCUUCAUCUAAAUGCAGUAGACAUGUGGACUGCUGUUUUGAAAACCCUUCUUUUCCUUCUUAGAUGCCUAGUGAAUCACUUCUCCUCUUUUUAAAUGUGAUUUAGGGAUAUGUAUCAGUGAAGAGCUUAGCUGUGAAUCUUUUGUACCAAUGAUUGUUUGAAAGUCUGGGGGUCCAGCAUCUUUGUAAAUAUGCCAUUCAGAGCAAGGGAGGGCUGGAGGUGUGCCAUGAUCCUUAGUGAAAGGUCAUCUGACUUCUGUAUAAUGCAUGGUGAAUGCAGCUGUGGAACUUUGGAUUAUCUAGGCUUAGGUAGGUUUAGAAGGACACUUAGCUAUAGCCCUCCUUUGCUUGGCGGAUUGGACUCAGAGAGACAAAAGGUUAGUCUGCGUAUGUGCAUGCUAACGUCAUGUCCUUAGGUAAAGGUCUGCCUCCCUGGUUGCCAAAUACUGAUCAUGAUGCUCAUGACUUAAAGGUUCUGAAGAGCCUUGUCCCCCUUGGUUUCUUGAGUCAGGGUUACGGAAAGGGCAUUCACUGGCUAACCUCCGUGCAGGUGAAACCCCACAAAAGCACAGUCCUGGUAGCAAACUGCACAGUUGUCCGUUGAAAGAGCGCCAGAGGCACAGAAGCGGUCAGGGCACAGCUUUGAGGUUGCAGACAGGCAACUGAUGAAGCACAGAUCCCACAUAUGUGACGGGAGUGUGACCUCUACCUAAUAGGCUCUGUGUGCAUGUUUUCAGUGAUGGAGAUUAACUAACACAAAUAUACACUUGCCUCCCAAAACACACAUUCUGUCUAAUUACCACCAAAUGGAAUGCUCUGGAGUCGAUAGUUCCUAUAACCCCUUUCUUCUCUGCAAGGACAGAGAAAAGUGGCCAUGUGCAGUUGGGGACACUGGGUGUCCCUCUCUUUUCACAAAAGGAGUGAAGCCUAAGCAAUCCCAGGAGGGCACAAAGCACAUGAAUUUUCAGUGGCUUCUCCAAUGAUUGGAGGAAGGGGAUAUAUAGACAUAGAUAUAUAUGUAUACAUAUAUAUAUAUACACACACACACAUAUGGCGGAACAGGCACGUUUUUCCUUGAACAUGUGGCUUCUUCAACUCCGCGUCAGAUUUCGGUUGGAAGCCUUGCUGAAGGAAAGCUGGCCUUUAGGCAGGAUUUCCUCCGGAGAUGCUUGUGUGUCCAGAAUGAAAGAUAAUUGUUUCCCUCCCAUUCACAAUCCCCAUUGGUCUCAAGUCACGUAGCAUAGAGCAUCAAUAGCACGUAGAGUUUAAGGACUAAUGAAUGAAAAAAGAUAAAGAUGUCAACUAAUUUUGGGGUUGUUUCUUAAAUAUGGUACUAGGAGAUGCCUUGUUGGCAAAGCGCAUUUUGGGUAGCUGAGAUAUUUUGUUUUCACCUCUAGCUCUCUAAGCUUUCUUACCACGUGGACUGAUUACUGUAACAUUUCAUGUGUAAAAUAAUUGGAUAUUCUUUAUAUACUGGAAAUGAUCUGUGAAUCCGAUAUUUCACUAAGUGUUUUAACGCUUGUGUAUAUAUCUCUCAUCAAUAAAUGUGGAUUCCAAUUUC
Molecule: RNA transcript, 15160 nt
Organism: Leopardus geoffroyi (Geoffroy's cat)
Lineage: Eukaryota; Metazoa; Chordata; Mammalia; Carnivora; Felidae
Gene: SLC1A2
Gene name: solute carrier family 1 member 2
Exons: 11
Source: RefSeq, a predicted model, not a curated record